This 90-nucleotide transfer RNA is filed under the name Chelonia mydas (Green sea turtle). It matches the Rfam family "tRNA". From Rfam's summary of the family: Transfer RNA (tRNA) molecules are approximately 80 nucleotides in length. Their secondary structure includes four short double-helical elements and three loops (D, anti-codon, and T loops). Further hydrogen bonds mediate the characteristic L-shaped molecular structure. tRNAs have two regions of fundamental functional importance: the anti-codon, which is responsible for specific mRNA codon recognition, and the 3' end, to which the tRNAs corresponding amino acid is attached (by aminoacyl-tRNA synthetases). tRNAs cope with the degeneracy of the genetic code in two manners: having more than one tRNA (with a specific anti-codon) for a particular amino acid; and 'wobble' base-pairing, i.e. permitting non-standard base-pairing at the 3rd anti-codon position. The record is from Rfam by way of RNAcentral. Lineage: Eukaryota; Metazoa; Chordata; Testudines; Cheloniidae.
CCUUCGAUAGCUCAGCUGGUAGAGCGGAGGACUGUAGAGGAACAGGCUGCGGGAAUCCUUAGGUCGCUGGUUCGAUUCCGGCUCGAAGGA